GAAAAGACUAACAGGAUUCCCCUAGUAACUGCGAGUGAAGCGGGAAAAGCUCAAAUUUAAAAUCUGGCGGUUCUUGUAGCCGUCCGAGUUGUAAUUUAGAGAAGUGUUAUCCGCGCUGGACCGUGUACAAGUCUCCUGGAAUGGAGCGUCAUAGAGGGUGAGAAUCCCGUCUUUGACACGGACUGCCAGGGCAUUGUGAUGCGCUCUCAAAGAGUCGAGUUGUUUGGGAAUGCAGCUCAAAAUGGGUGGUAAAUUCCAUCUAAAGCUAAAUAUUGAGGAGAGACCGAUAGCGAACAAGUACCGUGAGGGAAAGAUGAAAAGAACUUUGGAAAGAGAGUUAAACAGUACGUGAAAUUGCUGAAAGGGAAACGCUUGAAGUCAGUCGCGUCGUUCAGGGCUCAGCCUUGCUUUGCUUGGUGUACUUCCUGUUCGACGGGUCAGCAUCAAUUUUGGUCGGUGGAUAAAGGCUUAGAGAAUGUGGCAUCUUCGGGUGUGUUAUAGCUCUGGGUCGCAUACAUCGGCUGGGAUUGAGGAACUCAGCACGCCGCAAGGCCGGGGACUUGUCCCACGUACGUGCUUAGGAUGCUGGCAUAAUGGCUUUAAUCGACCCGUCUCGAAACACGGACCAAGGAGUCUAACAUGCCUGCGAGUGUUUGGGUGGAAAACCCGAGCGCGUAAUGAAAGUGAAAGUUGAGAUCCCUGUCGUG
Molecule: ribosomal RNA, 707 nt
Filed under: uncultured fungus
Lineage: Eukaryota; Fungi
Description: LSU rRNA
Rfam family: Eukaryotic large subunit ribosomal RNA
Source: RNAcentral